This 2777-nucleotide ribosomal RNA is filed under the name Escherichia coli. RNAcentral describes it as "partial 23S ribosomal RNA". It matches the Rfam family "Bacterial large subunit ribosomal RNA". The record is from RNAcentral. Lineage: Bacteria; Pseudomonadati; Pseudomonadota; Gammaproteobacteria; Enterobacterales; Enterobacteriaceae.
UUGUGAGGUUAAGCGACUAAGCGUACACGGUGGAUGCCCUGGCAGUCAGAGGCGAUGAAGGACGUGCUAAUCUGCGAUAAGCGUCGGUGAGGUGAUAUGAACCGUUAUAACCGGCGAUUUCCGAAUGGGGAAACCCAGUGUGUUUCGACACACUAUCAUUAACUGAAUCCAUAGGUUAAUGAGGCGAACCGGGGGAACUGAAACAUCUAAGUACCCCGAGGAAAAGAAAUCAACCGAGAUUCCCCCAGUAGCGGCGAGCGAACGGGGAGGAGCCCAGAGCCUGAAUCAGUGUGUGUGUUAGUGGAAGCGUCUGGAAAGGCGCGCGAUACAGGGUGACAGCCCCGUACACAAAAAUGCACAUAUUGUGAGCUCGAUGAGUAGGGCGGGACACGUGGUAUCCUGUCUGAAUAUGGGGGGACCAUCCUCCAAGGCUAAAUACUCCUGACUGACCGAUAGUGAACCAGUACCGUGAGGGAAAGGCGAAAAGAACCCCGGCGAGGGGAGUGAAAAAGAACCUGAAACCGUGUACGUACAAGCAGUGGGAGCCUCUUUAUGGGGUGACUGCGUACCUUUUGUAUAAUGGGUCAGCGACUUAUAUUCUGUAGCAAGGUUAACCGAAUAGGGGAGCCGAAGGGAAACCGAGUCUUAACUGGGCGUUAAGUUGCAGGGUAUAGACCCGAAACCCGGUGAUCUAGCCAUGGGCAGGUUGAAGGUUGGGUAACACUAACUGGAGGACCGAACCGACUAAUGUUGAAAAAUUAGCGGAUGACUUGUGGCUGGGGGUGAAAGGCCAAUCAAACCGGGAGAUAGCUGGUUCUCCCCGAAAGCUAUUUAGGUAGCGCCUCGUGAAUUCAUCUCCGGGGGUAGAGCACUGUUUCGGCAAGGGGGUCAUCCCGACUUACCAACCCGAUGCAAACUGCGAAUACCGGAGAAUGUUAUCACGGGAGACACACGGCGGGUGCUAACGUCCGUCGUGAAGAGGGAAACAACCCAGACCGCCAGCUAAGGUCCCAAAGUCAUGGUUAAGUGGGAAACGAUGUGGGAAGGCCCAGACAGCCAGGAUGUUGGCUUAGAAGCAGCCAUCAUUUAAAGAAAGCGUAAUAGCUCACUGGUCGAGUCGGCCUGCGCGGAAGAUGUAACGGGGCUAAACCAUGCACCGAAGCUGCGGCAGCGACACUAUGUGUUGUUGGGUAGGGGAGCGUUCUGUAAGCCUGUGAAGGUGGCCUGUGAGGGUUGCUGGAGGUAUCAGAAGUGCGAAUGCUGACAUAAGUAACGAUAAAGCGGGUGAAAAGCCCGCUCGCCGGAAGACCAAGGGUUCCUGUCCAACGUUAAUCGGGGCAGGGUGAGUCGACCCCUAAGGCGAGGCCGAAAGGCGUAGUCGAUGGGAAACAGGUUAAUAUUCCUGUACUUGGUGUUACUGCGAAGGGGGGACGGAGAAGGCUAUGUUGGCCGGGCGACGGUUGUCCCGGUUUAAGCGUGUAGGCUGGUUUUCCAGGCAAAUCCGGAAAACCAAGGCUGAGGCGUGAUGACGAGGCACUACGGUGCUGAAGCGACAAAUGCCCUGCUUCCAGGAAAAGCCUCUAAGCAUCAGGUAACAUCAAAUCGUACCCCAAACCGACACAGGUGGUCAGGUAGAGAAUACCAAGGCGCUUGAGAGAACUCGGGUGAAGGAACUAGGCAAAAUGGUGCCGUAACUUCGGGAGAAGGCACGCUGAUAUGUAGGUGAAGCGACUUGCUCGUGGAGCUGAAAUCAGUCGAAGAUACCAGCUGGCUGCAACUGUUUAUUAAAAACACAGCACUGUGCAAACACGAAAGUGGACGUAUACGGUGUGACGCCUGCCCGGUGCCGGAAGGUUAAUUGAUGGGGUUAGCGGUAACGCGAAGCUCUUGAUCGAAGCCCCGGUAAACGGCGGCCGUAACUAUAACGGUCCUAAGGUAGCGAAAUUCCUUGUCGGGUAAGUUCCGACCUGCACGAAUGGCGUAAUGAUGGCCAGGCUGUCUCCACCCGAGACUCAGUGAAAUUGAACUCGCUGUGAAGAUGCAGUGUACCCGCGGCAAGACGGAAAGACCCCGUGAACCUUUACUAUAGCUUGACACUGAACAUUGAGCCUUGAUGUGUAGGAUAGGUGGGAGGCUUUGAAGUGUGGACGCCAGUCUGCAUGGAGCCGACCUUGAAAUACCACCCUUUAAUGUUUGAUGUUCUAACGUUGGCCCGUAAUCCGGGUUGCGGACAGUGUCUGGUGGGUAGUUUGACUGGGGCGGUCUCCUCCUAAAGAGUAACGGAGGAGCACGAAGGUUGGCUAAUCCUGGUCGGACAUCAGGAGGUUAGUGCAAUGGCAUAAGCCAGCUUGACUGCGAGCGUGACGGCGCGAGCAGGUGCGAAAGCAGGUCAUAGUGAUCCGGUGGUUCUGAAUGGAAGGGCCAUCGCUCAACGGAUAAAAGGUACUCCGGGGAUAACAGGCUGAUACCGCCCAAGAGUUCAUAUCGACGGCGGUGUUUGGCACCUCGAUGUCGGCUCAUCACAUCCUGGGGCUGAAGUAGGUCCCAAGGGUAUGGCUGUUCGCCAUUUAAAGUGGUACGCGAGCUGGGUUUAGAACGUCGUGAGACAGUUCGGUCCCUAUCUGCCGUGGGCGCUGGAGAACUGAGGGGGGCUGCUCCUAGUACGAGAGGACCGGAGUGGACGCAUCACUGGUGUUCGGGUUGUCAUGCCAAUGGCACUGCCCGGUAGCUAAAUGCGGAAGAGAUAAGUGCUGAAAGCAUCUAAGCACGAAACUUGC